This 219-nucleotide ribosomal RNA is filed under the name uncultured bacterium. RNAcentral describes it as "partial 16S ribosomal RNA". It matches the Rfam family "Bacterial small subunit ribosomal RNA", at positions 523 to 738 of the family's 1533-position model. The record is from RNAcentral.
UGACGUAGGUGGCAAGCGUUGUCCGGAUUUAUUGGGAUUUAAAGGGUGCGUAGGCGGUCUUAUAAGUCAGUGCGUGAAAAUAUCCGGCUUAACCGGAGGUGGCAUUGAUACUUGUAGGACUUGAGUAGAGUUGAGGUUGGCGGAAUUGACGGUGUAGCGGUGAAAUGCUUAGAAUAUCAGGAGGAACACCGAUGGCGAAAGGCAGAUCUCUGGGCCGUA